AGCUCCAAUAGCGUAUAUUAAAGUUGUUGCGGUUAAAAGCUCGUAGUUGGAUUUCUGUUGAGAACAGGCGGUCCACCUUUUGGGUGAGUAUCUGCAUUGGUCUCGGCAUCUUCUCGAAAUACGACUCUGCGCUUGAUUGCGUGGAUCGGAGUUCGGGACUUUUACUUUGAGGAAAUUAGAGUGUUCACGGCAGGCAUACGCCUUGAAUAUAUUAGCAUGGAAUAAUGAUAUAGGAUUUUGGUUCUAUUUUGUUGGUUUCUAGAGCUAAAAUAAUGAUUAAUAGGGACAAUUGGGGGCAUUCGUAUUAACGCGUCAGAGGUGAAAUUCUUGGAUUGCGUUACGACGAACUACUGCGAAAGCAUUUGCCAAGGAUGUUUUCA
This 380-nucleotide ribosomal RNA is filed under the name uncultured eukaryote. RNAcentral's name for it is "SSU rRNA". It matches the Rfam family "Eukaryotic small subunit ribosomal RNA", at positions 587 to 972 of the family's 1831-position model. The record is from RNAcentral.